Molecule: ribosomal RNA, 450 nt
Filed under: uncultured bacterium
Lineage: Bacteria
Description: partial 16S ribosomal RNA
Rfam family: Bacterial small subunit ribosomal RNA
Source: RNAcentral
GUGGGGAAUAUUCCGCAAUGGACGAAAGUCUGACGGAGCAACGCCGCGUGAGUGAUGAAGGUUUUCGGACUGUAAAGCUCUGUUGUUUAGGACGAAAGUGCCUGUUGCGAACAGUUACAGGUAUUGACGGUACUAAACGAGGAAGCCACGGCUAACUACGUGCCAGCAGCCGCGGUAAUACGUAGGUGGCAAGCGUUGUCCGGAAUUAUUGGGCGUAAAGAGCAUGUAGGCGGAGAUUUAAGUCUGUUGUGAAAAUGCGGGGCUCAACCCCGUAUUGCGAUGGAAACUGAAUUUCUUGAGUGCAGGAGAGGAAAGGGGAAUUCCCAGUGUAGCGGUGAAAUGCGUAGAUAUUGGGAGGAACACCAGUGGCGAAGGCGCCUUUCUGGACUGUGUCUGACGCUGAGAUGCGAAAGCCAGGGUAGCGAACGGGAUUAGAAACCCCGGUAGUCC